Symphalangus syndactylus (siamang) is the source of this 410-nucleotide long non-coding RNA. RefSeq lists it as uncharacterized. The record is from RefSeq and is a predicted model, not a curated record. Lineage: Eukaryota; Metazoa; Chordata; Mammalia; Primates; Hylobatidae.
CUGUCCCCCGCCUGUGGACCACGACCCGCCACGCCCCCAACUGUGGGCCACGCCCCACCCAGUGGCCCCGUCCAGACCCCGCCCACCUCAGGCCGUACGUAGUCAAGGCCCCGCCAAGUGCUUCCGCCCCUCUGCUGGUCCAGACUGGGACAAUCACCGGACCAUUGUACUCGGAUUUUGGGAGAAUGAUCAUGCAACAAUCCUCAGAAGCUCCUCACAGCCUUAGGCAUUUCCUGUCCAGCUGGAGGAUAAGACCCUCAUAAGAAGAGGUGAUUACUCAACGGUCCUCAAUACAAGCCAUCUCUUUGCUCCUCUGCCAUGAGAUGACACAGCAAGAAGGCCCUUGCCAGAUACCAACCCCUUGAUCUUGGACUUCCCAGCUCCCGGAAGUGUGAGUCAAUAAAUUUCUG